AACGGAAAUGCCACUAGAUCUGUCUUAGCAAACGUGCACGCAAUUAGGUAAUGUCCAGGCUGGAGUGAACUAAAAUGAACUCUUCAAUACAUGCUCUGGAUCUGUACUUGGGUGCACUUUGCCGAUCACCCCUGAUGCGCCAGUCUGCACAUCUCAUCGUUAGGGUCCAUUUCUGUAGGAGACAGGGCACCUACUCUUAGCACGAUGUGGGACGGAUUGAGUCUUAUUAGCGCUUUUUUGGCCUAGGGGUUGUAUCCUGAACAUGGGAAUGGGGAGCAACAGGUGGACAUGGUGGGCUUUUCGUUAACCCAUUUAUGUUCUGUUGGGGUGCAACCUUCUGGCGUCCUCGCUUGGUUACCGCAUCGACCAUGCAAUAAGUAGCAAAUUUGGAACGCAGUGUGCUGUAACAUGCGCGGAUUCCUUGUCUCCAGUCUCAGUUACCAGCUCCGUUUGCACUACAAGCCUUAUGUUCAUCUUCAAAAGUUUCUCAUGGCUUCUUCUUUUUUCCCUUUGUAUUUGCUUUUUGGCUCUUGGCAUCCGUUGACCAAUUUGAACUAGAGCAAUCGGUUGUUGUAGUCUAUAUUCUUCAUGUACAUCCUAUACCGUAAUCGCAGCAAACUAUUUUGUUCAGGAACUUGCCCUAGGAGAGUGCGCUGCUUAGCUGGGUGGAACUUUUCGAAGAGUUUUUUGAUUUCCUCUCCGGAACGGUUUGAUAUAUAUGUUCUUUGAUCAUAAUCUCACUGUGUUGACAGCUGAUGCACGUUAACAUGGACGUGCUUCUCUUUGUAUUAGUAGCAAAUGUCCAGCCAAGGUUGUCGAAUUGAUUCUCAGCUAUCAACUUCUGUGCUCCUUGCCUGUUCUACUGUUCAAUUCGGGACAUCAUGUCUGUGAAACCGUGCUUGUAUUUGUUUUAAGUUUUCAGGUGAAUGGUAGAGAUUCAUUAAGCUAUAACGCAUGUCUCUGAAAAGUCAUGCUUUCACCUUACGAAGAUAUCAUUAUCUGUAUUGAAGCAGGAUCUUAGAACCUCCAAACUGCAGAAAUUGAAAAAGGAUUGCUCCCACUUCGCAUGGUCCUGAGCGGCUUGCAUACUGCCUAGUGGAAUACGCAUGCAAACGGAUAACCGACUGUAUUGCUUAGGGAAAUCAAUCCCAAUUGAUCAUGGCACUUAGAGCUAAGAUCUCGUAAUAUUGAUUCCGAGAGCAAUUGUAGUUGCGCUUGUGAUCGGAUAUUGAAGUCUUUUCAUACACACACAGAACUAUAUAUAUAUAAGUAUAAAUGUAUGUAUGUUUGCAGUAUUUUAUGAAAAGGGUGUUUUACGUUUUUUUGCAGGUGUCACUUUGGGUGUCGAAAGCGUUGGGAGGUUUUAAAGCUCUGUCGCUCACUUACAUCUUGGAGUACUGCAUCUUCACAUUCGUCAGAUUUUUCUAUCUGUUGUCAUAUCCCCGGAAUUUUGAAUCAGGUACAUACCUAGCAUCUUCAGAUAAGCACGUGAUCACGUUCAUACGGAUCAGUCGCUAACUCUCUUACGGAGAGCAUAGUGUGGUUUGAUAACAGUGGUGCAGAAGCUCUGCGAAGUUGAAGAUGCAGCACUACAAGAAGUGCGUGAGCGACGGGCUAUAUGAAAGACAUGCUGCCGUUUGCGCUUAACUGCAUAAACACUGCUUUUGGUUCCAGCAUCUGCCUUCGGCAUUGUCUCAGACUCGAAGAUGCCAAUUCAGCACCCACCGGUUACUUAAUUCCGUUGUGCGUAGAUGCCCAGUAACAUUAUUGGGUUCAGGAACUGAACAGACACUGACAAAGUUGUCAACGCCUCAAGGUUGGGAGGACCGCUGAUUUGGGUCUUGACACUCAGUUCAAUCCAGCAGCUUGGCAAACUCUCUCAAUUCCCCCCCCACCUGGUCAGUCAUCCAUGGCGGCGUCAAAUCGUAGGUUCAUCCACACUGCUGCAGUGCAUCGUUUCUCCUUCUCUACCAAUCUCCUUAGUACUUAUACAUAAACAAGAGCCAAGUGUGUGACCAAUGUCCUGGUCGCUGAGUGGCGUGACUGAUCUUUUAUUCUUCUUCUGUUUUUUCGAAUUCUUAGAUACGCAGUUUACUGUAACUGGCACAAUAAUACAUCUAUAUGGAAAAGUGUUCGUUGACGUGCCGGGAUUCGUUUGCUGGAGCGCUUUGCGGAUGGGGUAGGUCACAUGGUCCCGACAUCCACGACACGCUAAAUACGCUGUCGACUAGACAAACUUCGCUAGCAGCUGAAUAGAAUAUUUUUGGACUCCUUAAACUUAGCAACAGCCGGAUUGGAAAGCCUUAACUAUUGCCUCGAUCAAUUGGGCUAUAACUGUGGUUGCUAAGUCCCGGGUUGAAGUCUGCGAAGGAGUUGUAUUUAGGAUGUAACAUGGAGCCUACGUGACUCGUUCAGGUACAUGUAAUCUACAGGAAGUAGAAUAACACAUCCUCUUGGGUCUGCAGUAGGAUCAGAACCUUUCACUGUUUGUUCAGUUACCACCAAUGAGGAACGUAGAUUAUUGAGUUGUGAAUGGGAAACAUCAAGAAGUAAGUUCUUAGAGGUAUACGGCUAAAUUUGUUGCAGUUCAUUUUUUACAUAUUAGAUUGCUGUUCAGGAAAUCCGUUCACGUGAUUCUCAAGCAACUGCAUUUUAGUAAAGAUGGCUUUUUUGACCUUCCACAUUGCACGAUUGCCACUAUUAACUAUAUAUGUCACCGGAGAUCCAUGACAAUUGCUAGCAGCCAGCACAUCAGUCAUGAAAUAUUACUUUGCGGCAGCAGCAUCUCGCCUUGACGAAUUCGUAUCGUGCGUCGUACGCAACGGGAACCUUCGAUGGAAUCAUGUAUCGGGUCAUUAAGAUAUAUAAGGUGGGAGGUGGGAGGAAGACUGUCUUCAGAUCAUGGUGCAUAGCCUCGUCCACCGAUCCUUCUGCAUCGAGUCUUAUCGUCUAAGCUACGAUGUUUGGACCUAGCUGUAAGUCUCUCAACAUUUCACGAAGUGCUUCUGCAAUUAUUCGUUUGGGAUUCACCGCACGAAUUUUAUACGUCUGCGCAUACUUCAAUUCGACAAUAAAGACGGAUAUGCAUGUUUGUGUGCUCCACGCGGGCAAACAGUCAGAUCAUGCAUUGUGUGUGGUUGUCACCGGAAUAAGGACCUAGCAUGCACAGUGGAGGAAAUUGAGCAGAUUCAUAGACUGUACACCAAAAAUUCUUAUAUCCUGCGCGAGGAGAGGCAUCAAGAAAGGAUAUCAUUCUGAAAUUUUAAUAUUUUCAACCAUUUUGAAGGCACUGUUGAGAUUGACGUACAGCAUCGAUCCUGAGGUUCAGUAUAGUUUAGAAUCCUCACGAUCGGAAAGGGUAGUGAGAGUUUCCUCUCGGACUGCAGAUGUCGGGUCCCAAUUAGCGUCGAGAACUGGAGGUAUCUUUCUCGGUACAGGACAAGUAAUUACAGACUGAACACCCUAUGUAUUUACCCGCUGAUGCAGAGUCCUCUUCGCCUCCCUCGGGGAAUGCGGUAUGUCUCAGCUCUUGUAAUUGGCAUUCGAUUGAUAGUUAUUCCAUGUCACAAACUCAUUAAUGGAAAAGUAAUUAUCUGCCGGAUUUUACUCAAAAUCCAUAUGCUACGAUUUCUCCCAUCAAUCUUAAA
Physcomitrium patens is the source of this 3647-nucleotide non-coding RNA. NCBI's taxonomy places the organism in Eukaryota, Viridiplantae, Streptophyta, Bryopsida, Funariales, Funariaceae. The record is from RefSeq and is a predicted model, not a curated record.